AUUAUACAAAAUGCUUACUAUAAGUGUUUGAUGCUGUGUGUCAGAACUCAGAUAUUAUGUUUCAUUUACUAUGUAUGCAGGGCUAACUUUUGGUGCUAGCUCAACAAAUGCUCCGGUCGGCCAGUCUGUUGGUAAUUUUGGGCAGGAGCAUCAGCCCCCUGUAAGUCCACCUGUUCACAAAAGAAAAAUCAGUCAAUUAUUUGAAAAAGAAAAAAUACAAAUGUAUUGUUUCUCUCUGUUAUUCUGUAGAUAUGAACUGUAUACAAAAUAUAAAAAAUAAAAGUUGUUUAAUGUAAUGCAGGGGCUAACUUUUGGUGCUACCUCAACAAAUGCUCCCGUCGGCCAGUCUGUUGCUAAUUUUUGGCAGUAACAUCAGCCC
Molecule: long non-coding RNA, 379 nt
Filed under: Triticum aestivum (bread wheat)
Lineage: Eukaryota; Viridiplantae; Streptophyta; Magnoliopsida; Poales; Poaceae
Description: long non-coding RNA (TAES_LNC008455)
Source: RNAcentral